UGGCUCAGGACGAACGCUGGCGGCGUGCCUAAUACAUGCAAGUCGAACGAACUCUGGUAUUGAUUGGUGCUUGCAUCAUGAUUUACAUUUGAGUGAGUGGCGAACUGGUGAGUAACACGUGGGAAACCUGCCCAGAAGCGGGGGAUAACACCUGGAAACAGAUGCUAAUACCGCAUAACAACUUGGACCGCAUGGUCCGAGCUUGAAAGAUGGCUUCGGCUAUCACUUUUGGAUGGUCCCGCGGCGUAUUAGCUAGAUGGUGGGGUAACGGCUCACCAUGGCAAUGAUACGUAGCCGACCUGAGAGGGUAAUCGGCCACAUUGGGACUGAGACACGGCCCAAACUCCUACGGGAGGCAGCAGUAGGGAAUCUUCCACAAUGGACGAAAGUCUGAUGGAGCAACGCCGCGUGAGUGAAGAAGGGUUUCGGCUCGUAAAACUCUGUUGUUAAAGAAGAACAUAUCUGAGAGUAACUGUUCAGGUAUUGACGGUAUUUAACCAGAAAGCCACGGCUAACUACGUGCCAGCAGCCGCGGUAAUACGUAGGUGGCAAGCGUUGUCCGGAAUUAUUGGGCGUAAAGCGAGCGCAGGCGGUUUUUUAAGUCUGAUGUGAAAGCCCUUCGGCUCAACCGAAGAAGUGCAUCGGAAACUGGGAAACUUGAGUGCAGAAGAGGACAGUGGAACUCCAUGUGUAGCGGUGAAAUGCGUAGAUAUAUGGAAGAACACCAGUGGCGAAGGCGGCUGUCUGGUCUGUAACUGACGCUGAGGCUCGAAAGUAUGGGUAGCAAACAGGAUUAGAUACCCUGGUAGUCCAUACCGUAAACGAUGAAUGCUAAGUGUUGGAGGGUUUCCGCCCUUCAGUGCUGCAGCUAACGCAUUAAGCAUUCCGCCUGGGGAGUACGGCCGCAAGGCUGAAACUCAAAGGAAUUGACGGGGGCCCGCACAAGCGGUGGAGCAUGUGGUUUAAUUCGAAGCUACGCGAAGAACCUUACCAGGUCUUGACAUACUAUGCAAAUCUAAGAGAUUAGACGUUCCCUUCGGGGACAUGGAUACAGGUGGUGCAUGGUUGUCGUCAGCUCGUGUCGUGAGAUGUUGGGUUAAGUCCCGCAACGAGCGCAACCCUUAUUAUCAGUUGCCAGCAUUAAGUUGGGCACUCUGGUGAGACUGCCGGUGACAAACCGGAGGAAGGUGGGGAUGACGUCAAAUCAUCAUGCCCCUUAUGACCUGGGCUACACACGUGCUACAAUGGAUGGUACAACGAGUUGCGAACUCGCGAGAGUAAGCUAAUCUCUUAAAGCCAUUCUCAGUUCGGAUUGUAGGCUGCAACUCGCCUACAUGAAGUCGGAAUCGCUAGUAAUCGCGGAUCAGCAUGCCGCGGUGAAUACGUUCCCGGGCCUUGUACACACCGCCCGUCACACCAUGAGAGUUUGUAACACCCAAAGUCGGUGGGGUAACCUUUUAGGAACCAGCCGCCUAAGGUGGGACAGAUGAUUAGGGUGAAGUCGUCAAA
RNAcentral lists this ribosomal RNA (1509 nucleotides) under Lactiplantibacillus plantarum. RNAcentral's name for it is "Lactobacillus plantarum partial 16S ribosomal RNA". It matches the Rfam family "Bacterial small subunit ribosomal RNA". The record is from RNAcentral. Lineage: Bacteria; Bacillati; Bacillota; Bacilli; Lactobacillales; Lactobacillaceae.